UGCUCCUACGGGGCGCAGCAGUAGGGAAUCUUCCACAAUGGACGAAAGUCUGAUGGAGCAACGCCGCGUGAGUGAAGAAGGGUUUCGGCUCGUAAAACCCUGUUGUUAGAGAAGAAAGUGCGUGAGAGUAACUGUUCACGUUUCGACGGUAUCUAACCAGAAAGCCACGGCUAACUACGUGCCAGCCGCCGCGGUAAUACGUAGGUGGCAAGCGUUAUCCGGGUUUAUUGGGCGUAAAGGGAACGCAGGCGGUCUUUUAA
RNAcentral lists this ribosomal RNA (260 nucleotides) under uncultured bacterium. Its description in RNAcentral is "partial 16S ribosomal RNA". It matches the Rfam family "Bacterial small subunit ribosomal RNA", at positions 334 to 586 of the family's 1533-position model. The record is from RNAcentral.